Molecule: small nuclear RNA, 29 nt
Filed under: Arabidopsis thaliana (thale cress)
Lineage: Eukaryota; Viridiplantae; Streptophyta; Magnoliopsida; Brassicales; Brassicaceae
Description: snRNA_04187
Source: RNAcentral
AGGUCAUCUAACAAAGCAAGAUAGGUUAU